Non-coding RNA from Salmo salar (Atlantic salmon), 54 nucleotides. Lineage: Eukaryota; Metazoa; Chordata; Actinopteri; Salmoniformes; Salmonidae. The record is from Rfam.
UUCAAGCAUAACUGUAAGUCGCUUUGGAUUAAAGCAUUUGCUAAAUGGCGUAUA